CCUACGGGUGGCAGCAGUAGGGAAUAUUGCUCAAUGGGGGAAACCCUGAAGCAGCAACGCCGCGUGGAGGAUGAAGGUUUUCGGAUUGUAAACUCCUUUUGUUAGAGAAGAUAAUGACGGUAUCUAACGAAUAAGCACCGGCUAACUCCGUGCCAGCAGCCGCGGUAAUACGGAGGGUGCAAGCGUUACUCGGAAUCACUGGGCGUAAAGGGCGCGUAGGCGGGAUAGCAAGUCAGAUGUGAAAUCCUAUGGCUUAACCAUAGAACUGCAUUUGAAACUGUUAGUCUAGAGUAUGUGAGAGGUAGGUGGAAUGCUUGGUGUAGGGGUAAAAUCCGUAGAGAUCAAGAGGAAUACUCAUUGCGAAGGCGACCUGCUAGAACAUAACUGACGCUGAUGCACGAAAGCGUGGGGAGCAAACAGGAUUAGAUACCCGGGUAGUC
RNAcentral lists this ribosomal RNA (440 nucleotides) under uncultured bacterium. RNAcentral's name for it is "partial 16S ribosomal RNA". It matches the Rfam family "Bacterial small subunit ribosomal RNA", at positions 338 to 795 of the family's 1533-position model. The record is from RNAcentral.